GAGUUUGAUCCUGGCUCAUGACGAACGCUGGCGGCGCGCCUAACACAUGCAAGUCGAACGAGCGAGAGAGAGCUUGCUUUCUCAAGCGAGUGGCGAAGGGGUGAGUAGCGCGUGAGGAACCUGCCUCAAAGAGGGGGACAACAGUUGGAAACGACUGCUAAUACCGCAUAAGCCCACAGCUCGGCAUCGAGCAGAGGGAAAAGGAGCAAUCCGCUUUGAGAUGGCCUCGCGUCCGAUUAGCUAGUUGGUGAGGUAACGGCCCACCAAGGCGACGAUCGGUAGCCGGACUGAGAGGUUGAACGGCCACAUUGGGACUGAGACACGGCCCAGACUCCUACGGGAGGCAGCAGGGGGGAAUAUUGCACAAUGGGGGAAACCCUGAUGCAGCGACGCCGCGUGGAGGAAGAAGGUCUUCGGAUUGUAAACUCCUGUUGUUGAGGAAGAUAAUGACGGUACUCAACAAGGAAGUGACGGCUAACUACGUGCCAGCAGCCGCGGUAAAACGUAGGUCACAAGCGUUGUCCGGAAUUACUGGGUGUAAAGGGAGCGCAGGCGGGAAGACAAGUUGGAAGUGAAAUCUAUGGGCUCAACCCAUAAACUGCUUUCAAAACUGUUUUUCUUGAGUAGUGCAGAGGUAGGCGGAAUUCCCGGUGUAGCGGUGGAAUGCGUAGAUAUCGGGAGGAACACCAGUGGCGAAGGCGGCCUACUGGGCACCAACUGACGCUGAGGCUCGAAAGUGUGGGUAGCAAACAGGAUUAGAUACCCUGGUAGUCCACACCGUAAACGAUGAUUACUAGGUGUUGGAGGAUUGACCCCUUCAGUGCCGCAGUUAACACAAUAAGUAAUCCACCUGGGGAGUACGACCGCAAGGUUGAAACUCAAAGGAAUUGAUGGGGGCCCGCACAAGCAGUGGAGUAUGUGGUUUAAUUCGACGCAACGCGAAGAACCUUACCAAGUCUUGACAUCCCUUGACGAACAUAGAAAUAUGUUUUCUCUUCGGAGCAAGGAGACAGGUGGUGCAUGGUUGUCGUCAGCUCGUGUCGUGAGAUGUUGGGUUAAGUCCCGCAACGAGCGCAACCCUUACUGUCAGUUACUACGCAAGAGGACUCUGGCAGGACUGCCGUUGACAAAACGGAGGAAGGUGGGGAUGACGUCAAAUCAUCAUGCCCUUUAUGACUUGGGCUACACACGUACUACAAUGGCGUUAAACAAAGAGAAGCAAGACCGCGAGGUGGAGCAAAACUCAGAAACAACGUCCCAGUUCGGACUGCAGGCUGCAACUCGCCUGCACGAAGUCGGAAUUGCUAGUAAUCGUGGAUCAGCAUGCCACGGUGAAUACGUUCCCGGGCCUUGUACACACCGCCCGUC
RNAcentral lists this ribosomal RNA (1368 nucleotides) under uncultured bacterium. Its description in RNAcentral is "bacterial SSU rRNA". It matches the Rfam family "Bacterial small subunit ribosomal RNA". The record is from RNAcentral.